This is a non-coding RNA of Claviceps sorghi, 96 nucleotides long. Lineage: Eukaryota; Fungi; Ascomycota; Sordariomycetes; Hypocreales; Clavicipitaceae. The record is from the annotation of a GenBank genome assembly.
GGGCGAAUGGUUUAGUGGUAUAAUACUCCCUUAGCAUCUUCGAGCAUUCUGCUUGACGCUUGGGAGUGGUCCGGGGUUCGAUUCCCCGUUUGUCCA